UACGAAGGGGGCUAGCGUUGCUCGGAAUCACUGGGCGUAAAGGGCGCGUAGGCAGGUCUUUAAGUCAGGGGUGAAAUCCUGGAGCUCAACUCCAGAACUGCCUUUGAUACUGAAGAUCUUGAGUUCGGGAGAGGUGAGUGGAACUGCGAGUGUAGAGGUGAAAUUCGUAGAUAUUCGCAAGAACACCAGUGGCGAAGGCGGCUCACUGGCCCGAUACUGACGCUGAGGCACGAAAGCGUGGGGAGCAAACAGG
Molecule: ribosomal RNA, 253 nt
Filed under: uncultured bacterium
Lineage: Bacteria
Description: partial 16S ribosomal RNA
Rfam family: Bacterial small subunit ribosomal RNA
Source: RNAcentral